This 445-nucleotide ribosomal RNA is filed under the name uncultured bacterium. RNAcentral describes it as "partial 16S ribosomal RNA". It matches the Rfam family "Bacterial small subunit ribosomal RNA", at positions 354 to 796 of the family's 1533-position model. The record is from RNAcentral.
GUGAGGAAUAUUGGUCAAUGGGCGAGAGCCUGAACCAGCCAAGUCGCGUGAAGGAUGAAGGUUUUAUGAAUUGUAAACUUCUUUUGCAGGGGAAUAAAGUACGGUACGUGUACCGUUUUGUAUGUACUCUGCGAAUAAGGAUCGGCUAACUCCGUGCCAGCAGCCGCGGUAAUACGGAGGAUCCAAGCGUUAUCCGGAUUUAUUUGGUUUAAAGGGUGCGUAGGUGGUUUGAUAAGUCAGCGGUGAAAGUUUGCAGCUUAACUGUAAAAAUGCCGUUGAAACUGUCGGACUUGAGUGUAAAUGAGGUAGGCGGAAUGCGGGGUGUAGCGGUGAAAUGCAUAGAUAUCACGCAGAACUCCGAUUGCGAAGGCAGCUUACUAAGCUACAACUGACACUGAAGCACGAAAGCGUGGGGAUCAAACAGGAUUAGAAACCCUAGUAGUCC